UACGUAGGGUGCGAGCGUUGUCCGGAAUUACUGGGCGUAAAGAGCUCGUAGGUGGUUUGUCGCGUUGUUCGUGAAAUCUCACGGCUUAACUGUGAGCGUGCGGGCGAUACGGGCAGACUUGAGUACUGCAGGGGAGACUGGAAUUCCUGGUGUAGCGGUGAAAUGCGCAGAUAUCAGGAGGAACACCGGUGGCGAAGGCGGUUCUCUGGGCAUUACCUGACGCUGAGGAGCGAAAGUGUGGGGAGCGAACAGG
Molecule: ribosomal RNA, 253 nt
Filed under: uncultured bacterium
Lineage: Bacteria
Description: partial 16S ribosomal RNA
Rfam family: Bacterial small subunit ribosomal RNA
Source: RNAcentral